UGGGGAAUUUUGGACAAUGGGCGAAAGCCUGAUCCAGCAAUGCCGCGUGUGUGAAGAAGGCCUUCGGGUUGUAAAGCACUUUUGUCCGGAAAGAAAUCCUUGGCUCUAAUACAGUCGGGGGAUGACGGUACCGGAAGAAUAAGCACCGGCUAACUACGUGCCAGCAGCCGCGGUAAUACGUAGGGUGCAAGCGUUAAUCGGAAUUACUGGGCGUAAAGCGUGCGCAGGCGGUUUGCUAAGACCGAUGUGAAAUCCCCGGGCUCAACCUGGGAACUGCAUUGGUGACUGGCAGGCUAGAGUAUGGCAGAGGGGGGUAGAAUUCCACGUGUAGCAGUGAAAUGCGUAGAGAUGUGGAGGAAUACCGAUGGCGAAGGCAGCCCCCUGGGCCAAUACUGACGCUCAUGCACGAAAGCGUGGGGAGCAAACAGGAUUAGAUACCCUGGUAGUCCACGCCCUAAAACGAUGUCAACUAGUUGUUGGGGAUUCAUUUCCUAGUAACGUAGCUAACGCGUGAAGUUGACCGCCUGGGGAGUACGGUCGCAAGAUUAAAACUCAAAUGAAUUGACGGGGUCAUAGCUGUUUCCU
RNAcentral lists this ribosomal RNA (585 nucleotides) under uncultured bacterium. RNAcentral describes it as "partial 16S ribosomal RNA". It matches the Rfam family "Bacterial small subunit ribosomal RNA", at positions 355 to 1375 of the family's 1533-position model. The record is from RNAcentral.